UACAGAGGGGGCAAGCGUUGUUCGGAAUUAUUGGGCGUAAAGAGCUUGUAGGCGGUUUGUCGCGUCUGCUGUGAAAUUUCGGGGCUCAACCCCGAACUUGCAGUGGGUACGGGCAGACUAGAGUGUGGUAGGGGAGACUGGAAUUCCUGGUGUAGCGGUGAAAUGCGCAGAUAUCAGGAGGAACACCGAUGGCGAAGGCAGGUCUCUGGGCCAUAACUGACGCUGAGAAGCGAAAGCAUGGGGAGCGAACAGG
RNAcentral lists this ribosomal RNA (253 nucleotides) under uncultured bacterium. RNAcentral describes it as "partial 16S ribosomal RNA". It matches the Rfam family "Bacterial small subunit ribosomal RNA", at positions 524 to 776 of the family's 1533-position model. The record is from RNAcentral.